GGUGGUGUAGCUCAGAUGUACAGUCCUAGUCUAGCACACAUAGGUCUUGGGUUCGAUCCCAGCACCACUA
This 70-nucleotide transfer RNA is filed under the name Cavia porcellus (domestic guinea pig). It matches the Rfam family "tRNA". From Rfam's summary of the family: Transfer RNA (tRNA) molecules are approximately 80 nucleotides in length. Lineage: Eukaryota; Metazoa; Chordata; Mammalia; Rodentia; Caviidae. The record is from Rfam by way of RNAcentral.